AGGAUGAACGCUGGCGGCGUGCUUAAUACAUGCAAGUCGAACGGACGUAGCAAUACGUUAGUGGCGACCGGGUGCGUAACACGUAGCUGACCUGCCCCUCAGCGGGGGACAACAGUUCGAAAGGACUGCUAAUACCGCAUACAUUCUCCACGUUUAGAAGGUGGAGAAGAAACUUACGGGGCUGAGGGAGGGAGCUGCGGCCCAUCAGGUAGUUGGUGAGGUAACGGCUCACCAAGCCGACGACGGGUAGGGGGCCUGAGAGGGUGGUCCCCCACACUGGAACUGACAAACGGUCCAGACUCCUACGGGAGGCAGCAGUAAGGGAUAUUGCGCAAUGGGCGAAAGCCUGACGCAGCAACGCCGCGUGGAGGAAGAAGGCCUUCGGGUCGUAAACUCCUUUUGACGCUGACGAGGAAGGACGGUAGGCGUCGAAGAAGUCACGGCUAACUACGCGCCAGCAGCCGC
Molecule: ribosomal RNA, 465 nt
Filed under: uncultured bacterium
Lineage: Bacteria
Description: SSU rRNA
Rfam family: Bacterial small subunit ribosomal RNA
Source: RNAcentral